GGAGUUGUGACUCAUUUGGUAAAGUGCAUGUCUUGUACACAUGAAGAUCUGGGUUCAAUCCCCAGUCCA
Molecule: transfer RNA, 69 nt
Filed under: Mus musculus (house mouse)
Lineage: Eukaryota; Metazoa; Chordata; Mammalia; Rodentia; Muridae
Rfam family: tRNA
About the family: Transfer RNA (tRNA) molecules are approximately 80 nucleotides in length. Their secondary structure includes four short double-helical elements and three loops (D, anti-codon, and T loops).
Source: Rfam by way of RNAcentral